Molecule: long non-coding RNA, 1728 nt
Organism: Osmia lignaria (orchard mason bee)
Lineage: Eukaryota; Metazoa; Arthropoda; Insecta; Hymenoptera; Megachilidae
Source: RefSeq, a predicted model, not a curated record
CACCGCAAUAAGGGUUUAAGGGACUCUUGAAAAUACUAUCUGUAUAUUUUGAGACUAAGUCAAUACUAUUUUACGUGAAAGACAUUUAUGAUUUCGUUACAUAAUUCAAAAAAGGAGCCUAUUUUAAAAAAUAAAACUUACUGUGUAACUGUUACCGGCGAACGACGCGCGCGUAAUGGUUGCCAACUGUCUAGUGGAUUUCCCACCGAUUUGUAGCUAAGAUCGCUCGAUUGUAAUAGCUCUACUUCCGGAACGCAUGGCGGACACGUCGGAACGUAUCAUUGUACGAGUAAUCACAUUUCAUCAUAUAUUUUAUAUAAUAAAUACUUUUGCACUUUUAACCGUGUCGUGUUCCACUGCCGCUCCCACUCCUGCCAUCAGUAACCAAUAGAUUAAACUUUCGAGAGGAUCAGAUAGUUAUACAAGCUGUGUCUUUAAAACAUGGUGUCUAGCCUUAUAUUUUUGUUUUACUAGUAGAAUUUCGUUAUAUUGCUGCAUAGUCGACUUCUUUACUCUUCAACGAUUUUUGACCUCUUUGAAUUUCGCGCAUUGGUAUAGACAAGACUGGAUUAAGAUGUCUGGGACCCGAGGCUAUCACACCUUCAAAGCGUGCUAGUAUUAAAGGGUUAAGUAACCGGAAGAACAUGCGCAGGAAUUUAUUUGCGAUAAAUUGAAAAGAUGCAUUCCAAGUGAGGGGUUACAAAAGAAGAUUUAUCUCAAAAAAUUGAAAAUUGUCGCCUGGGUAGAAGGCAUCGAUAGAUAACGUAAUAUUACUUGGGCGCAGUAAUAUAUCACGGUGAUUGAUGAUCCUACAAUAAAAUCGAUGCUGCAAUAUAGAUCGUGCAUGUUAAGGUGUAAGAUACAGGUGUACUAAUGGUAUAUUGAAAAACCCGUGAAAAAUCGUGUCUAUUGAUUUAUUCGAACAAUAGUUCACGAACUGUUUUGUGUCAGUUGAACAAACUUACGAACAUAUGUACUAUGAGAAUGAAUUUUUAUUUGCUCAGUUAAUUGGCAAUUUACACUGGGUGAUCAGAUUAUCAUGAUUUGCUUUGAAAUUUAAAUGAUAUUUAGGAAUAUUUUAAAGAGGGUAAUAUGGCCUUCUAGUUUUAUAUACCUUUGUAUUAUCUGAUUCAUAAUUUAAAUUCCUUUAAAUUAUUAAGGAAUGAUAGAAGAAAAUCAGUUUAACUAAAAAGCACAAGAUAUCAUUGUUAUACAGUAGACUCCCGUUGUAUUACCACAGACAAGGUGAUGGAGACAGAACAUUUUUUCAAGCCUCCAAACUUUCAGUUGGAGAGGAAAAUAGAGAUAAUAUUGUAUCAUUUAUGUAGGCUAUGAUGAUGAAAGUCUGGUAUGAUUGAAAAUCUGUGCGAAGAUCAAAUCGUUCAUAUGACAAUACAACGAGAGUCUACUAUAAAAAAGACUAAAUGUAUUAAAAAGAAAGAAAUUGUAUAAUAUUGAAAAUUUGCAAAACUAUGUAAAAUGAAAUUUAUGAUCACAGAAGAUAAGAAAUACAAGAAUUUCAUAGCAUGUUAUUCUAUGCAGCAGGUGCAGUAUACUGUACGAUGGGAUAACUAACAAAUGUUUUUUCAUAGAAUGGAUGUUUAUAUGAAGGCCAAUGUCAGUAAAUGUCAACCUUUAGACGGCGGAUCAUGGCGAGAAUUCAUAUUAUUAUCAUUUUCUAAAUUUUACACUGUUUCCUUAAAAAUUAUUCUUUUAAUUAUUACUCCG